AGUACCCUAUGUAUGUUCUCUACACAAAAUGAUUUGUGUGUCUGUUGUAUCUAUGAUGUGAGUAUUCUGCGGCACCUUAAGUGUGUUAAAUGAUGACCCUUGUCUGAUUUUGUGCACUAAAUGUAUAUUGACUGCUAAAAAAGGAAUUAUAUUUUGAGUGGGUUGAAGUAAAAGAAAGAGAGAAUGUGUACACUGUCAUUUCAUACUGAUUUAACCACAAAGAAUUCCAAUCUGAAUUCAGAGUUAUCAUAGUAUGAUUCAAGUUGCAAAUAGAAUAAAUAAAUAAAGACAUAGAAGUAGGCAGUAAGUAGUCGUAGUGGUUUGGUAGUACGUGCCAUUUCACACUCCAGUUGUACAUGUUGUGAAAGUGUCAAAUCAUUUCUAGAGUUCAUCUUAUCCUCCCAUCACUAAAGCAUGUUGUUGCAACCACCUGAUAAAAUGGGGUAACAUUUAGACAUUCAGCAUAAGAGUAGCCGACCAUGGAAUGUAUCAGGUCUUGACCUGGCAUGGAGCUGGCUUUUAUACCUCUUAGGAGUUUCAUUGAGGCCAGUCAUGUAGUGCAAACACCUUCAGAUGUAAGUAUACCUCUGAAAAGGGCAUUUGUGUUGCAUGAACUGUUUUCUAAGAAAGAUGACAGAAACUUGCGCAAGUCUACCAUUGUGCAACACAAUUGUGCUUCCACAAAACAAGGGCAAGACCCAUCCUUUAUCUUUGUCUGACACUUGAAUAUUCACGGGUGGCCACCAUUGUAUAUAAGGACAUAAGCGCCUGAUUUCACACUUUCCAAUGAGGCAGUCGAGACAUAAUCUACAUCUCCUUUGUGCUAGCACAUCAUUAGUAUCUCCUUAGUAACGUCCGCCGCUGCCUUGGAGAAUGGACAAGGACAUCCUUUUUGAGGGCCUCUCGGCACUGGUCGGGGUCACCGUCAAGCCCCAGUCUGCAGCACCCCCUCCUCUUCUCAGGAGCUUUUCCGCUAGCCAGGCUCAUCCCGACAUACUCAGUGUGCAGGACCUGCUCACGGCAGUCUACUUUGACCAGGAGUUCUGGCAAGAUGUGAACUUCCGGAGGGUCGGCCUGCGCUCCAUGCCAGCCGUCCGCAGCGAUCUCUUUGUGAAUGACCAGCAUUUCUUUGACCCAGCGUGGGACUACGACUUCACCAACAUCUACGACACCACAACGUUCAUGAGGGGGAAUGAGGUGUACAAACGGCCCUGCGGGUGGAAGCGGUUCGCCCUCAAGGUUCUGGGGAAGUACCCCGACGGCAAUGCCUGGCUGGGCAAUGCAGGGUACCGCACCUACUCUGACCCGAACGAGUGGCCCGUGACCUAUCAUGGCACCUCUCUACCUGGAGCCCAUGGCAUCAUCAGCACCCACUACCUACCAGGCAGUGGGCAGACAUAUGGCAGGGGUAUCUACUCGACUCCUGAUGUGAAAGUGGCAGAAACGCACGGCUACGUCAAGACCUUCGUCUCCCAGAAGAAUGGGAAGACCUACAAAGUGUGCCUGCAGAACAGGAUCAACCAGAGAGUCAGGCAGGUUUGUGCCCGCCCAGAGUACUGGCUCGUGCCCAUCCCUGCAGGCACACCAGCCGAGUCAGAGAAGAAUAUCGUACUGGGCGCUAUUCGUCCAUACAGUCUCCUCCUGAAGGAAGCAUAAAAAUUGCCUGAUCAAAGUUCUCAUUUGCAGUUACAUAAAAUAAUUCCUAAAAUGUUGUCUCAGUCAACACACUCAGUGCAGUCAUUCAUUUCAUGUGUUAAUGUCAGGGCUCUGUGCUAAAAUGAAUAAAUGGCUUGAAAGUACAAA
This is a long non-coding RNA of Clupea harengus (Atlantic herring), 1803 nucleotides long. NCBI's taxonomy places the organism in Eukaryota, Metazoa, Chordata, Actinopteri, Clupeiformes, Clupeidae. The record is from Ensembl.